UUUUGCAUAGUUGCAUGCGUGAAGAUUAUGCAUGAAGAAGCAUCAAUGACUGACUUUUCUUCGUUCGUCGUGGUAGUCUGAGGAUGAUGGCAUGGGCGGGAGGAGGAAGAAGGGCAUCAAGGAUAAGAUCAAGGAGAAGCUCCCUGGUGGCCACGGCGACCAGCAGCAGACCACUGACAACACCUACGGACAGCAAGGUCAUACGGCAGGGAUGGCCGGCACUGGCGGCACCUACGGCCAGCCGGGACACACCGGAAUGGCCGGCACUGGGACGCAUGGCACCGACGGCACCGGCGAGAAGAAGGGCGUCAUGGACAAGAUCAAGGAGAAGCUGCCCGGACAGCACUGAGCCCGGCCCACGGCCGCUACUUGUGAAAGUUUGAGGUGCCGGUCUGGGACAC
This 401-nucleotide long non-coding RNA is filed under the name Triticum aestivum (bread wheat). RNAcentral describes it as "long non-coding RNA (TAES_LNC010818)". The record is from RNAcentral. Lineage: Eukaryota; Viridiplantae; Streptophyta; Magnoliopsida; Poales; Poaceae.